Molecule: long non-coding RNA, 2305 nt
Organism: Pan troglodytes (chimpanzee)
Lineage: Eukaryota; Metazoa; Chordata; Mammalia; Primates; Hominidae
Exons: 3
Source: RefSeq, a predicted model, not a curated record
CUUAGUGACAACAGGCUGCUUCAUUAUCUCUCCUUUUUAUGUUCUAAGGGCAAAAAUAUUCAGGGUCUGCAGGGUAAAAACUAUGGAAGCAUAAACAAGGAAAACCUGACUCUCCCUCACAACUGCAUGUCCUACUAAAAGGUAAAAGGACACUUUGGGGUUGUCUCAGGUGAAAACUGCUGGAAGGAAAAAGCCUGAGAAAGCCGCUGACAGCACCAGUGCUUUGCGUCUCGGGACAAAUUCCUUUCCCUCUAUCAAUACGUUUUAUUUUUUCACGGAGGGGAGGGGACUCAUUUUGCCAAGAAUUUAUUGUGCAUCGUUUCUGAUUCAGCAGGUCUACAGUCGAAACCAGGAAUUAGCAGCUUUAACAAGUGCCACAAGUGAUCGGAUACCGGUGGUCCCAGGACCACACCUCGAGAAAGCCCCGCAGAGAGAUGAGUGCAUGGAAAGAGCCAACUGAGAGGUGAAGCUUAAACAAAUGUGAGGCAGAAAAAUCUAUUAAUGAGGCACUAAUGAGAAGAUGGAAUCAAACUCCCUGCAAAUACACACACACACACACGUGGGAAACUUCUGGCUUUUUUUUUUUUUUAAAGAAAACCCUGAGGAGCAAGCUAACAAAAUAUCAAUAAAGUUGGAGAAACUGGGGCCGGGCGAGGUGGCUCAUGCCUGUAAUCCCAGCACUUUGGGAGGCCAAGGCGGGUGGAUCAUUUGAGGUCAGGGGUUUGAGACCAGCCUGGCCAACAUGGUGAAAUCCCGUCUCUACUAAAAAUACAAAAGUUAGCCAGGCGUGGUGACAUGCACCUGCAAUCCCAGCUACUCAGGAAGCUAAGGCAAGAGAAUUGCUUGAACCCGGGAGGUAGAGCUUGCAGUAAGCCAAGAUCCUGCCACUGCACUCCAGCCUGGGUUGACAGAGUGAGACUCUAUCUCAAAAAAAAAAAAAAAAAAAAAAAAAAAAGCUGGAGAAAUUGGAGCACAAAAAAAGUCUAAGCGAUACAAAGAUAUUAUUUUUAAAAGGAUUAAUACUGUCCUAUUAAACAUUUAUUAAACAUAGACAUUUUGUGAAGUGCUGCCAAAAGCAGGAAUGGAACUAGAACUCAGGACUCCAAAUUCCCAGCUCUAUCAAUAAAUCAGGCAAUUUCCCUCCACAAUCCAAAAUAGCUGCAAAUGCUCUGGUUAUUUUUUAACAUAUGGCUUAAAUAUUUAUAUUUUAAGUGCUUUCAGUUUAUAGUCCACAUCAUAAACAUUCAUUAACAUUUAGGCAACUUCCUAAGUAACUCUAACUGCAAGGUCAGACCAAAUACACAUUUAAGCAAAAUAAACAUUCCCCAUCAUAGGCUAUAAAUUGUUCCAAUAUUUACUUGAUAACCUGACACCCAUAUUCAUUUGCCUCUCUUCCUCCCAAAAUACUGUUCUUCGGGAGUUUUUUUUUCUCAUGCAACAAAAGAUAGUGUUACUGAGGCCGGAGAGAAAGGAGCAAGGUUUCAAAGAUACCAAACUUAGAAUUUGGAAUAAGCUUAACCUUAGGGGGAUCUAUCUCCUUGAUUGGUGUGUUUCAUGGCAUUAAAUUUAAUUAAUUAAUCAAUCCAACAAAUACUUGUGUAUUUGCCAGGCCGAGUGCUCUUCUGAAUGAACAGAGUCAAAGUUGUUGCCUACAAUGUUUACAUUCUAGGAGACCGGCCAACAGUAAAUCAGUCAGCAAACAAAUAUUUAGUAUAACAUCAGAUACGUUUAAGCGCUCCGAAGAAAAAUAAGGCAGGGUAAAAGGGACAGAGAAUGACAAAGUAUUAGAGGGACAAUAUUGCUAUUUUAAAUAGGGUGGACAAAGAAAUCUACUCCGAAGACUUAGUCAAAUUAUAGACUAAAUCAAAAAAUGAGAAUAAUAUUAACUUCCCUCUCAAAGUGGCCACCACGCAUGGGUCAGUAGAAAAAACUGCAGGCUGCUUAAACACAUCGGAAUUAAUGAACAUCCACGAAUUUUAGAGCAAGAACAAAAGAAACUUGUGAGGCUAACCUGCUCCAGAAGCCGCCAAGCACGCAGAGGGAAAGAAAGAGGAAUGUACCCUUCACCUGGCCCCACUCACAAGAGCUGGCCAAGAUCACUCCCAAGCCUGACUUCCAGGUAAAGGGCUACAUGAAAUCAGCCACAAAAGGCGCAAUGUGGAAAUCAAGGAAAAAGCACCAUUUAAUAAAUUCCUUAGAGUUAUUUUUCAGGGCAAUGACUGAAUGUAGUAAUUGACAUAUCAUUGGAUGCAAGUAAGAUAAACAUAAGUAAUAAGGUUUUACAAAGGUUAUGCAUUGUAAUUGU